RNAcentral lists this long non-coding RNA (6301 nucleotides) under Salmo salar (Atlantic salmon). Its description in RNAcentral is "lncRNA (ENSSSAG00000096439.1)". The record is from RNAcentral. Lineage: Eukaryota; Metazoa; Chordata; Actinopteri; Salmoniformes; Salmonidae.
GUUCCAAAUUGAGUAGCAGUUGCUGAAAAAAAUUAGCUCCUACAAAUAUUGAGAUUUACAUGGUUUUUAGAGUGAAGUAUAUUGCAAAAAGCAAAAGAAAACUGCAAGACUGAAUAGGAGAUAAAACAAGCAACAAACGAAGAAGGCAGGCUUUUGAAAAAGUAAUAAUUUUUCAUAAAAUUGUAGUUAUCUUAGCUAGCUGAAUUGUUUACCAGUUGCUAAGCAGUUGCUAGGGACUCUCCGAAAAGAAGCUAGCUAGCUAACAAAAAAUAGCUUGUUAACAAACGAAUAGAAAGACAAAAUAAGGACAGAAGACAAAGGACAUCAAAGGAAAACAGUCCUCUAAAGACACAAGAGACAAUAAUACAAGAAACUAUGCUGUUUUGGAAAAGGUAGGCUUAUAUUGCAACAUUGUAGCCAACAUCACCAGCGUUGCUAUGGAAAUUGUUUACCCACCAGACAUCCAAACAGAAAGCUAAGAAAAGCUUUGAUGAUGGGACAGAACCAUGAAUGCCUGUUUGCAGAUCUUACCAGUUGAGAAACAAGAGCAAAUGUAAUAUGUAAUUGCAAAUGAGGGCACAUAUGGAAAAGGGUUAUUUGCAACCAUUUCCUUUUCUCAAAAUAGAGAGGCAUCAGCCAAGGAUGUCAGAUCAGCAUUUUUGAAGAAGCUGACCAGAGCAACAUGUAUUAAACAGUGAACUUCUACAAUAAUGGAACUGUAUUGAUACAAGGCAAUAAUUCAAGCCUCCAGGCUUUAGAGAAUAUGUUUGCUACCCUAAAAGUAGAAUUUGAACUCAUCUCAGAAACUGAGGAAGAAGUAAAGGAAGGAGAUGAUGGAGAAAAGCAGGCCCCAAUGGUCUCUGUGACCCAGCAAGAAGCCCUCAGUGUCCCUCUACCUACCUCAUCUGCAGCAGACAGAGCCAAGGACAUGCCUACAGCACCAAGAACACCUGCUAUGCAACGAUUCCACAACACCCUCUCUCUAGUCGAAGCAGAGGUCAUAGAACUUAGAACAAGCUUCAAGAUGAGGACACUGUCCAGAAACGAAAUGAAGAGAUGAAACAGUUCAGGGAGGAGAGCAGAGCAUCUAUUGCUAAAUUGGAAAGCAGAAUGGACAAGCUGAGUCAGACAAAUGAUGACCUCAGAGACCAUCUGAGCACAACAAGAGAGGAGCUAGAACAGAGAGAGAGGUACAUUGACCCCCUCAACCAGCAGCUAGUUAUUAUGUCCUCUGCAUCAAGAGAACAUGUCCACCAGCUUGGUACAACCCAGGCAGAGCCUGAGACCAGCAUAACCAGCAUGGCCUCCACCACACAGCCUGAUGACACUGCACCAGCCUACCAGUCUGCUCCAGCCCAGGUCAGCCAACCAGCUUCCCAGUCUGUUCCAACACAGUCUGCUCCAACACAGUCUGCUCCAGCCUAUGUCAACCUACCAGCCUCCCAGUCUGCUCCAGCCCAGGUCAGCCAACCAGCUUCCCAGUCUGUUCCAACACAGUCUGCUCCAACACAGUCUGCUCCAGCCUAUGUCAACCUACCAGCCUCCCAGUCUGCUCCAGCCCAGGUCAGCCAACCAGCCACCCAGUGUGCUCCAGCCAGACAAUCACCCACAACUGCAAUCCUUAUUGAUUCAAAUGGGAAGUUCUUAGUCCAGGAAAGAUGAUUCCCUAGAAACCAGAUGUAUAAGGUCUGUUGUCCUACAACUGACAGUGCAAUGCAGCUACUCAGUCAGACCAGGGUUGACACCCUUGACAACAUCAUCAUCCACACAGGCACAAACAACCUUCAUUCCAAAGGUGGAAAUGUAUCUGGGGCAGUGAGAAGAGUGGCAGAACGGGCACAGGCUAUGUUCCCAACAACCAAUAUAGUUGUGUCCACCCUCUUACCAAGAAAAGACUUCCCAGGACAGUUGAUGGACAAAAUAAAUCAACAGAUCACUAUGGACUGUGCCUCACUGCUCAACGUCAGAACGGCUCACCAUCCCACUCUGACAUGUCAACACUUAUACCAUAAUGUACAUCUUGAUCAGGACAGUAUCAGAACCUUUGUUAUGGACCUAAAGAAUGGAACACUUGGCAGGGACCCACACACCCAUCACCCCAGCAGCAGAGGCCCCCCGCUCCACCUUCUGAAACAACAAUACCCCCACCAUCCCCAGGAGAGAAGAGCCAGACAUGGCUUAUUACAGCACAGCUCUACUAGACCAGGCCCAUCACAACACAGCUCUACUAGACCCGGCCCAUCACAACACAGCUCUACUAGACCCGGCCCAUCACAACACAGCUCUACUAGACCCCAUCACAACACAGCUCUACUAAACCCGGCCCAUCACAACACAGCUCUACUAGACCCCAUCACAACACAGCUCUACUAAACCCGGCCCAUCACAACACAGCUCUACUAGACCCGGCCCAUCACAACACAGCACUACCAGACCCGGCCCAUCACAACACAGCUCUACUAGACCAGGCCCAUCACAACACAGCUCUACUAGACCCCAUCACAACACAGCUCUGCUAGACCAGGCCCAUCACAACACAGCACUACUAGAUCCAGCCCAUCACAACACACCACUGACCACUACUCCAGGGUCGGGCAGAACACUGUUCUUCAGAGAAGUGGACCACAUGAUGCAUUCCACACCAUGUGUCAUUCAGAUCAUCAGCCUACAUAUGCUGAGGUAACCUCUGGCAAAAGACACCUAGAACAAUCAGAGAUUGGAGAGGUGCGCCAACUACUGCAUCUAAUAUGCAGACUACUGUGCUAGACAGACACUUUAAUCUUUAAUUCACACGCACACACACACACACACACACACACACACACACACACACACACACACACACACACACACACACACACAUUCACAUACACACACACAUACACAGGGUUGCAGAUUGCAUUGUACUGUACUUUUUUGUGCAAUCUUAUUCCAUUCUUAUUCAUUUGUUUACAGCUAUUCUUUAUUUUAUUGGCACUGAUAUUAUAAUAAUAAUUAUAUGUAAUGGUGUGUGUGUGUGUGUGUGUGUGUGUGUGAAACAUGGUGUCAUGGAGACAUAGAAACUCAGUGUCCCUCAGGCUAUAGAGAAAGUUUACUACCAUCAAUCAAACAUAAAAAUAUUAAAUGGGGCCAGGACUCAGGUGGAAUAAUCAUUUGGCAUAAGCAGGACUUAGCACUGAAUAAAAUGAAACCACAUUUGGCUAUAACUUAACAAAGGUACAAUCUAUUGCGACAAUGAUGUAUACAUAUGUGCAGCUUAUGCUCCUCCUUCAGAUUCAUCAUAUUAUGAUGAUCAGUUUUUUGACAAUCUCCAUACAGAAAUCAUUUAAUUUCAGGCAGAAGGUAAAGUGCUUCUUUGUGGAGAUUUCAAUGCAAGAACAGGUUCUGAGCCUGACUACACUGAUACGGGAGGUAACCACCACAUAUUUGGACACCCCUCCUUGUACAGCAGCCCUAUUAUAAAUAAUAGAAACAGUCCUGACCAAAUAUUCAACAAAAAUGGGAAGGAGUUAGUGCACCUCUGUCGAGCCUUAGGCCUGUACAUGCUUAAUGGUAGAAUUAGAGGGGACUCUUUAGGUCGGUUUACUUCCUGCUCAGCUCUUGGGACAAGUGUAGUCGAUUAUGCCAUCACUGACUUCGACCCCUCCUCCAUUAGUGCAUUCACUGUCAGACCACAGACACCAUUGUCAGAUCACAGUCAGAUCAACGGGUUUCUGAAGAAAUUAACCGGCAAUAUUCAUUCAAAAAAAGAGCCCAAUAAACUCUACAACAUAAACCAAUCGUACAGAUGGGCUCAAAACAGUGCAGAGAGAUUCAUUGAAACAUUGAACUGAAAUGAAAUGACGAACUCUAUACAGUUCUUCAAUAACUCACAAUACCAAAACAAUAAAGAAGGUGUCAAUUCGGCUACUCAAAACAUUAAUUGCAUUUUCCAAAAAGAAGCAUCAAAAGCAAAUUUGAGAAAACCAAAGAAAUGCAACAUUAGAAACAAAAAUCAAAAUGUUUCUGAAAAAUGUUUUGACAGCGAAUGUAAAACAAUUAUAAAACAUCUAAGACAAAUGUCAAAUGAAAAACAUAAGCAACAAAACAACCCAGAAGUACCUUAUGAAUACUUUGAAACUCUGAAACAGUAUAAACCUACACUGAAACGCAAGAAAUGUAAUUAUACCAAUAAGACUCUUCAUGAAAUUGAAAACGCAAUUGACCAAAAUCAGUUCUGGUACAUGUGGAACAGUUUAAGCACGACAAAGCCACAAGAAUUAGCCAUACAAGAUGAAGGAAUUUGGAAAACUUAUUUUGAUAAUCUAUACAAAAACAACCCACAAAAAGACUUACAACAUAACCAAUUAGAAAUUCAAGAAAAAUGUUACAUCCUUGAUUCAGUCAUUAAAAAUAACCAAAAUCCAUUAGAUUACCCAAUAACCCAACAAGAACUAAAUGAAAAGAUCAUAUCUAUAAAAUUAAAGAAAGCUUGUGGUCUAGAUAACAUCAGAAAUUAAAGUUUCAAAAUGCUGUGCUUAAAUUGUUCAACAUGGUAUUAUUAUUCAAGAAUUCAAAUCUUUCUUCAAGAAAAAAAUGUAAUAAGUAAAUGUCAAAUUGGCUUUCUCCCUAACCAUCGCACUACUGACCAUAUAUACACCUUACACACACUAAUUAAUAAACACGUCCACCGAAAAAGAGAGGGAAAAAUCUUUGCUUGCUUUAUUGACUUUAAAAAAGCAUUUGAUUCUAUUUGGCACAAAGGGCUACUUUACAAAAUUCUCCAAAGUGGGCUUGGUGGUAAGAUGUAUGAAAGAAUAAAAUGUAUGUACACAGAAAACAAGUGUGCAAUAAAAAUCCAAAACCAAAGAACAUAAUUAUUUUCACAACAUCGAAGUGUGAGACAAGGCUGCAGUUUGAGUCCAAAUCUUUUCAACAUUUAUAUCAAUGAAUUAGCAGCCAUGUUGGACCAUUCUCCAGCCCCAGGACUUACACUAUUUGACACAGAGGUAAAAUACCUGCUAUAUGCUGAUGAUUUGGUACUCACCAACCAAAGAAGGUCUUCAACAGAACCAUAACAUUCUAGAGCAAUAUUGCCAUAAUUGGGCCCUGGCAAUACAUUUAAAAAAAAAACUAAAAUCAUGAUUUCCCCCCCAAAAAACAGAUGUCAGAAACACAAAUAUAAAUUCACCCUGAACAACACCAUAAUUGAACACACUAAAAAUUACUCGUACCUUGGUCUGACCAUAUCUGCAUCGGGAAACUUUAGUAUGGCAGUGAAUGUACUCAAAGAAAAAGCCUGCAGAGCAUUGUAUGCAACAAAAAUGAAAUUAUUCAAAAUCAACAUCCUAAUUAGAAUUUGGACCAAAAUAUUUGACUGUAUAAUCCUACCAAUAGCUCUUUAUGGAAGUGAGGUUUGGGGGCCACUCAAUAAACUGGACUUUAAAAUGUGGGACAAACAUCCAAUUGAAGCCCUACGUGCAGAAUUCUGUCGGAAAAUUCUACAAGUCUAGAGAAAUACACCAACUGAUGCAUGUAGGGCAGAAUUGGGCCGCUUUCCAGUGGUAAUGAAAAUACAGAAAAUAUCAUAAUUUUUUUUGCUACAUCUAAAUUCAAGUCUGCAAUUUAAAGCACCAAACCCAAGAGCUGGGCCCAGAAACAAUCCCUCUCAGUAAGCUGGUGAUGGACCUAACCAACCAAGCUGACACCAGCACUGCUUCAAAAGAAAGAACAAAAUCAUGAACCAAUUAAAGGACUCAUAUUUACAAAAUUGGAAAAACGAAACAAAAUCCCAAAGACGACUAAAUUGCUAUCUGGCACUAAACAGAGAAUAUGAAUUGGCUGAUUAUCUCUACUCUGUCAGAGAUACGAAGCAGAGACAGAUCCUUACCAAGUACAGGCUGAGUGACCACCAAUUGCCAAUAGAAACCGGCAGACAUAUAAAGACAUGGCUACUCAAAGAGGAGUGUGUAUGUGGUCACUGCACGACAGGGUAGGUAGAAAGAGAGAUGCACUUUCUCCUUUACUGUGAUAAAUAUUCCUCACCAAGAUAUUAAUUAUUCACAGAAAUGACUACAUUUAUUCCAGAUUUUAACAUAUUAAUCUCAGAGGAAAAACUAAAAAUACUCAUUGGUGAAGGAGCAAUGGCUCCUCUUUCAGCCAAAUAUGUAUUUGCCUGCCAUAGCCUGAGGGAUACUGAAUAAUAACAUCUGCAUAGUAAACAGUAACUUACUUAUUAUUAGUAUUAUUGUCAUUACUAUUAUUGUUAUUACUAUUAUUAUUGUUGUUGUGAUUAUUAUUCCAAAUAGUAGUGGUACGGGUA